CAGCAGCCGCGGUAAUACCAGCGAACUCAAAGGAAUUGACGGGAACUUAGCAGCCGCGGUAAUACGGAGGGUGCAAGCGUUAUCCGGAUUUACUGGGUUUAAAGGGUGUGUAGGCGGGCUUUUAAGUCUGGGGUGAAAUCUCCGAGCUCAACUCGGAAACUGCCUUGGAUACUAUUAGCCUUGAAUUAUGUUGAGGUAGGCGGAAUAUAACAUGUAGCGGUGAAAUGCAUAGAUAUGUUAUAGAACACCGAUUGCGAAGGCAGCUUACUAAGCAUAUAUUGACGCUGAGGCACGAAAGCGUGGGGAUCAAACAGGAUUAGAUACCCUGGUAGUCCACGCCCUAAACGAUGAUUACUCGUCAUACGAGAUACACUUUGUGUGACCAAGCGAAAGCGUUAAGUAAUCCACC
RNAcentral lists this ribosomal RNA (409 nucleotides) under uncultured bacterium. Its description in RNAcentral is "bacterial SSU rRNA". It matches the Rfam family "Bacterial small subunit ribosomal RNA", at positions 455 to 873 of the family's 1533-position model. The record is from RNAcentral.